Molecule: transfer RNA, 69 nt
Filed under: Thermococci archaeon
Lineage: Archaea; Methanobacteriati; Methanobacteriota; Thermococci
Description: tRNA-Phe
Source: RNAcentral
GGAGCGGUAGCUCAGCCUGGGAGAGCGCCGGACUGAAGAUCCGGGAAUUCUCGCAAAAGGAACCCUCCA